Molecule: ribosomal RNA, 440 nt
Filed under: uncultured bacterium
Lineage: Bacteria
Description: partial 16S ribosomal RNA
Rfam family: Bacterial small subunit ribosomal RNA
Source: RNAcentral
CCUACGGGAGGCAGCAGUGGGGAAUAUUGGACAAUGGGGGAAACCCUGAUCCAGCGACGCCGCGUGAGUGAAGAAGUAUUUCGGUACGUAAAGCUCUAUCAGCAGGAAAGAAAAUGACGGUACCUGACUAAGAAGCCCCGGCUAACUACGUGCCAGCAGCCGCGGUAAUACGUAGGGGGCAAGCGUUAUCCGGAUUUACUGGGUGUAAAGGGAGCGUAGACGGCAGCACAAGUCUGGAGUGAAAUCCCGGGGCUUAACCCCGGAACUGCUUUGGAAACUGUGCGGCUGGAGUGCAGGAGGGGUAAGCGGAAUUCCUAGGGUAGCGGUGAAAUGCGUAGAUAUUAGGAGGAACACCGGUGGCGAAGGCGGCUUACUGGACUGUAACUGACGUUGAGGCUCGAAAGCGUGGGGAGCAAACAGGAUUAGAUACCCCUGUAGUC